This 207-nucleotide ribosomal RNA is filed under the name Pichia kudriavzevii. RNAcentral's name for it is "partial 26S ribosomal RNA". It matches the Rfam family "Eukaryotic large subunit ribosomal RNA", at positions 71 to 282 of the family's 3401-position model. Lineage: Eukaryota; Fungi; Ascomycota; Pichiomycetes; Pichiales; Pichiaceae. The record is from RNAcentral.
CGGCAUGCCUCAGUAGCGGCGAGUGAAGCGGCAAGAGCUCAGAUUUGAAAUCGUGCUUUGCGGCACGAGUUGUAGAUUGCAGGUUGGAGUCUGUGUGGAAGGCGGUGUCCAAGUCCCUUGGAACAGGGCGCCCAGGAGGGUGAGAGCCCCGUGGGAUGCCGGCGGAAGCAGUGAGGCCCUUCUGACGAGUCGAGUUGUUUGGGAAUA